RNAcentral lists this ribosomal RNA (482 nucleotides) under uncultured bacterium. Its description in RNAcentral is "partial 16S ribosomal RNA". It matches the Rfam family "Bacterial small subunit ribosomal RNA", at positions 30 to 507 of the family's 1533-position model. The record is from RNAcentral.
AUUGAACGCUGGCGGCAUGCUUUACACAUGCAAGCCGAACGGUAACAGGCCGCAAGGUGCUGACGAGUGGCGCACGGGUGAGUAAUGCAUCGGAACGUGCCCAGUCGUGGGGGAUAACUACUCGAAAGAGUAGCUAAUACCGCAUACGAUCUAUGGAUGAAAGCGGGGGACCGUAAGGCCUCGCGCGAUUGGAGCGGCCGAUGUCAGAUUAGGUAGUUGGUGGGGUAAAGGCUCACCAAGCCAACGAUCUGUAGCUGGUCUGAGAGGACGACCAGCCACACUGGGACUGAGACACGGCCCAGACUCCUACGGGAGGCAGCAGUGGGGAAUUUUGGACAAUGGGCGCAAGCCUGAUCCAGCAAUGCCGCGUGCAGGAAGAAGGCCUUCGGGUUGUAAACUGCUUUUGUACGGAACGAAACGGCUCUGGUUAAUACCCGGGGCUAAUGACGGUACCGUAAGAAUAAGCACCGGCUAACUACGUG